CCUACGGGUGGCUGCAGUGGGGAAUAUUGCGCAAUGGGCGAAAGCCUGACGCAGCGACGCCGCGUGGGUGAUGAAGGCCUUCGGGUCGUAAAGCCCUGUCGGGAGGGAAGAAAUCUCAUCAGCCUAAUAUGCUGAUGACUUGACGGUACCUCUUAAGGAAGCACCGGCUAACUCCGUGCCAGCAGCCGCGGUAAUACGGAGGGUGCAAGCGUUGUUCGGAAUCACUGGGCGUAAAGCGCGUGUAGGCGGCUAUUUAAGUCUGAUGUGAAAGCCCU
RNAcentral lists this ribosomal RNA (275 nucleotides) under uncultured bacterium. RNAcentral's name for it is "partial 16S ribosomal RNA". It matches the Rfam family "Bacterial small subunit ribosomal RNA", at positions 338 to 604 of the family's 1533-position model. The record is from RNAcentral.